Molecule: ribosomal RNA, 495 nt
Filed under: uncultured bacterium
Lineage: Bacteria
Description: partial 16S ribosomal RNA
Rfam family: Bacterial small subunit ribosomal RNA
Source: RNAcentral
GAUGAACGCUGGCGGCGUGCCUAAUACAUGCAAGUAGAACGCUGAAGGAGGAGCUUGCUCUUCUGGAUGAGUUGCGAACGGGUGAGUAACGCGUAGGUAACCUGCCUGGUAGCGGGGGAUAACUAUUGGAAACGAUAGCUAAUACCGCAUGACAACAGUUAUUGCAUGAUAACUGUUUAAAAGGGGCAACUGCUCCACUACCAGAUGGACCUGCGUUGUAUUAGCUAGUUGGUGAGGUAACGGCUCACCAAGGCGACGAUACAUGGCCGACCUGAGAGGGUGAUCGGCCACACUGGGACUGAGACACGGCCCAGACUCCUACGGGAGGCAGCAGUAGGGAAUCUGCGGCAAUGGGCGGAAGUCUGACCGAGCAACGCCGCGUGAGUGAAGAAGGUUUUCGGAUCGUAAAGCUCUGUUGUAAGAGAAGAACGAGUGUGAGAGUGGAAAGUUCACACUGUGACGGUAUCUUACCAGAAAGGGACGGCUAACUACGUG